RNAcentral lists this ribosomal RNA (467 nucleotides) under uncultured bacterium. Its description in RNAcentral is "partial 16S ribosomal RNA". It matches the Rfam family "Bacterial small subunit ribosomal RNA", at positions 28 to 507 of the family's 1533-position model. The record is from RNAcentral.
GACGAACGCUGGCGGCGUGCUUAACACAUGCAAGUCGAACGGAAAGGCCUCUUUCGGGGGGUACUCGAGUGGCGAACGGGUGAGUAACACGUGAGUAACCUGCCCUUGACUUUGGGAUAACUUCAGGAAACUGGGGCUAAUACCGGAUAGGAGCUCCUGCUGCAUGGUGGGGGUUGGAAAGUUUCGGCGGUUGGGGAUGGACUCGCGGCUUAUCAGCUUGUUGGUGGGGUGGUGGCUUACCAAGGCUUUGACGGGUAGCCGGCCUGAGAGGGUGACCGGCCACAUUGGGACUGAGAUACGGCCCAGACUCCUACGGGAGGCAGCAGUGGGGAAUAUUGCACAAGGGGUGGAAGCCUGAUGCAGCAACGCCGGGUGCGGGAUGACGGCCUUCGGGUUGUAAACCGCUUUCGCUCAUGACGAAGCUUUGUGUGACGGUAGUGGGUAAAGAAGCACCGGCUAACUACGUG